CCUGGUGGCUAUAGCGCGGGGGUAACACCUCUUCUCAUUUCGAACAGAGAAGUUAAGUCCCGCAGCGCCGAUGGUACUGGCCGUUGGCCGGUAGAGUAGGACGUUGCCAGGA
RNAcentral lists this ribosomal RNA (112 nucleotides) under Salinibacter ruber. Lineage: Bacteria; Pseudomonadati; Rhodothermota; Rhodothermia; Rhodothermales; Salinibacteraceae. The record is from RNAcentral.